CUGGAGACGGCGACGCUGGUGGGCAUCAUCGUGGGCAUCAUCGCGGCCAUCGGCGUGGCCACGGCGGUCAUCAUAGCGGUGGUCAAGAGGGCGUCCGGCCAAUACUCCUAAGCCCUUCGGCGCCCGAGACGGAUGAGGCCCGAAACAGGGAAAAGCUGCCAGGAAAAGCAAUUGAGAUCCUCUGUUUCCGAGUGACUUUUCUCGUUGGCUAAGACGGUCUGUGGAAACGGAGCUGAGCCCUUGAGAUGCCGAGAAUGGAGUCCGAACAUGGGAUUUUCCUCACUUGCAAUGGAUUAUUAUUACUACUAUUACUAUUGUUAUCGUUAUGAUUAAGUGGUGCCAUGAGUACCUUAGGAUAUAAAUGCCAAAUCAAAGGACAACAAGAAAAGCUCUUCAGCUCGGAGUUAAGUCUACGGGUAACUUAUUGCCUUCGGUGACAUUUCGUUGAACAACCACAUUGCAUUGCUGCACUUGGAAGGACUACGCAUCUCCGUUUUAAGAGGAAACCAUUACGUCCAGUUGGAAGACAGGGAGAGGAAUGGAUAUAUCCUUAUGUUGGCAACUUGUCUAUGGUCAUUAAACAUGCAUUUCCACUUUC
Molecule: non-coding RNA, 598 nt
Organism: Anolis sagrei ordinatus
Lineage: Eukaryota; Metazoa; Chordata; Lepidosauria; Squamata; Anolidae
Source: RefSeq, a predicted model, not a curated record